This 507-nucleotide ribosomal RNA is filed under the name uncultured bacterium. RNAcentral's name for it is "bacterial SSU rRNA". It matches the Rfam family "Bacterial small subunit ribosomal RNA", at positions 8 to 518 of the family's 1533-position model. The record is from RNAcentral.
AGAGUUUGAUCCUGGCUUAGGAUGAACGCUGGCGGCGUGCCUAACACAUGCAAGUCGAACGGUGAUGACUGAUAGUUUCGGAUGGAUUCAUCGAUAGGUGGCGGACGGGUGAGUAACGCGUGGAUAACCUGCCUCGUACUGGGGGAAUAGCAGCUGGAAACGGCUGGUAAUACCGCAUAAGCGCACGGACCCGCAUGAGUCUGUGUGAAAAGAUUUAUCGGUACGAGAUGGAUCCGCGUCUGAUUAGCCAGUUGGCGGGGUAACGGCCCACCAAAGCGACGAUCAGUAGCCGGCCUGAGAGGGUGAACGGCCACAUUGGGACUGAGACACGGCCCAGACUCCUACGGGAGGCAGCAGUGGGGAAUAUUGGGCAAUGGGCGAAAGCCUCGACCCAGCAACGCCGCGUGAAGGAAGAAGGUCUUCGGAUUGUAAACUUCUUUUAUGAGGGACGAAGGACGUGACGGUACCUCAUGAAUAAGCCACGGCUAACUACGUGCCAGCCGCCGC